UGGGGAAUUUUGGACAAUGGGCGAAAGCCUGAUCCAGCAAUGCCGCGUGAGUGAAGAAGGCCUUCGGGUUGUAAAGCUCUUUUGUCAGGGAAGAAACGGUGAAAGCUAAUAUCUUUUGCUAAUGACGGUACCUGAAGAAUAAGCACCGGCUAACUACGUGCCAGCAGCCGCGGUAAUACGUAGGGUGCAAGCGUUAAUCGGAAUUACUGGGCGUAAAGCGUGCGCAGGCGGUUUUGUAAGUCUGAUGUGAAAUCCCCGGGCUCAACCUGGGAAUUGCAUUGGAGACUGCAAGGCUAGAAUCUGGCAGAGGGGGGUAGAAUUCCACGUGUAGCAGUGAAAUGCGUAGAUAUGUGGAGGAGCACCGAUGGCGAAAGGCAGCCCCCUGGGUCAAGAUUGACGCUCAUGCACGAAAAGCGUGGGGAGCAAACAGGAUUAGAUACCCUGGUAGUCCACGCCCUAAACGAUGUCUACUAGUUGUCGGGUCUUAAUUGACUUGUAACGCAGCUAACGCGUGAAGUAGACCGCCUGGGGAGUACGUCGCAAGAUUAAAACUCAAAUGAAUUGACGGGGUCAUAGCUGUUUCCU
RNAcentral lists this ribosomal RNA (585 nucleotides) under uncultured bacterium. RNAcentral describes it as "partial 16S ribosomal RNA". It matches the Rfam family "Bacterial small subunit ribosomal RNA", at positions 355 to 1375 of the family's 1533-position model. The record is from RNAcentral.